Molecule: ribosomal RNA, 338 nt
Filed under: Clostridium perfringens
Lineage: Bacteria; Bacillati; Bacillota; Clostridia; Eubacteriales; Clostridiaceae
Description: partial 23S ribosomal RNA
Rfam family: Bacterial large subunit ribosomal RNA
Source: RNAcentral
UUCAAGCGGUAGGAGAGCGUCGUAACCGGGCUGAAGUCGUACCGUAAGGAGCGGUGGACUGGUUACGAGUGAGAAUGUUGGCAUCAGUAGCGAGAUGUGGGUGAGAAUCCCACAGGCCGAAAACCUAAGGUUUCCUCAGGAAGGUUCGUCCGCUGAGGGUUAGUCGGGACCUAAGCCGAGGCCGAAAGGCGUAGGUGAUGGACAACUGGUUGAUAUUCCAGUACCACUACCAUCGUUAUUAUCGAUGGCGUGACGCAGGAGGAUAGUGUGUGCUAGCUAUUGGAUGCUAGUCUAAGCGUUUAGGCAGUGAGAGUAGGCAAAUCCGCUCUCAUAAUGCU